CAGCCGCCGCGGUAAUACGAAGGGGGCUAGCGUUGCUCGGAUUUACUUGGCGUAAAGGGCGCGUAGGCGGACAGUUAAGUUGGGGGUGAAAGCCCGGGGCUCAACCUCGGAAUUGCCUUCAAUACUGGCUGUCUUGAGUGUGAGAGAGGUGUGUGGAACUCCGAGUGUAGAGGUGAAAUUCGUAGAUAUUCGGAAGAACACCAGUGGCGAAGGCGACACACUGGCUCACUACUGACGCUGAGGCGCGAAAGCGUGGGGAGCAAACAGGAUUAGAUACCCCUGUAGUCCCUGUCUCUUAUAC
Molecule: ribosomal RNA, 301 nt
Filed under: uncultured bacterium
Lineage: Bacteria
Description: partial 16S ribosomal RNA
Rfam family: Bacterial small subunit ribosomal RNA
Source: RNAcentral